This 253-nucleotide ribosomal RNA is filed under the name uncultured bacterium. RNAcentral's name for it is "partial 16S ribosomal RNA". It matches the Rfam family "Bacterial small subunit ribosomal RNA", at positions 524 to 776 of the family's 1533-position model. The record is from RNAcentral.
UACGGGGGGGGCAAGCGUUGUUCGGAAUUACUGGGCGUAAAGGGCUCGUAGGUGGCCAACUAAGUCAGACGUGAAAUCCCUCGGCUUAACCGGGGAACUGCGUCUGAUACUGGUUGGCUUGAGUUUGGGAGAGGGAUGCGGAAUUCCAGGUGUAGCGGUGAAAUGCGUAGAUAUCUGGAGGAACACCGAUGGCGAAGGCAGCCAUCUGGACCGACACUGACGCUGAGGCGCGAAAGCGUGGGGAGCAAACAGG